This 549-nucleotide ribosomal RNA is filed under the name uncultured bacterium. RNAcentral describes it as "bacterial SSU rRNA". It matches the Rfam family "Bacterial small subunit ribosomal RNA", at positions 355 to 896 of the family's 1533-position model. The record is from RNAcentral.
UAGGGAAUCUUCGGCAACGGGGGCAACCCUGACCGAGCAACGCCGCGUGAGUGAAGAAGGUUUUCGGAUCGUAAAGCUCUGUUGUAAGUCAAGAACGAGUGUGAGAGUGGAAAGUUCACACUGUGACGGUAGCUUACCAGAAAGGGACGGCUAACUACGUGCCAGCAGCCGCGGUAAUACGUAGGUCCCGAGCGUUGUCCGGAUUUAUUGGGCGUAAAGCGAGCGCAGGCGGUUUGAUAAGUCUGAAGUUAAAGGCUGUGGCUCAACCAUAGUUCGCUUUGGAAACUGUCAAACUUGAGUGCAGAAGGGGAGAGUGGAAUUCCAUGUGUAGCGGUGAAAUGCGUAGAUAUAUGGAGGAACACCGGUGGCGAAAGCGGCUCUCUGGUCUGUAACUGACGCUGAGGCUCGAAAGCGUGGGGAGCGAACAGGAUUAGAUACCCUGGUAGUCCACGCCGUAACGAUGAGUGCUAGGUGUUGGAUCCUUUCCGGGAUUCAGUGCCGCAGCUAACGCAUUAAGCACUCCGCCUGGGGAGUACGACCGCAAGGUUG